UUGGAAGAGAUAAGCAUAAUCGCUCACCUUCGGCUUCAGUCUCAGGCAUGUUCGUCACUGUUGCAAGUUGAUCACCAUAAACUUGGCUUUCCAUUGCUUGGCUUUUGUGGCACAGCAGCGAUCAUUUGAUUUUACUCACGGCUGCAGCUGCGGCUGCUUCAGGUGUAGUUUGAUCGGCUGGACGUGCAGAUUCUCUUUCCCUCUAUUUGUGUCUUUAGUGUAGUUUAGUGACUUUUUCAAACAGACGCCUUUCUCGUUUUAAGAGGUUUGCAGCUUACCAAUAAAUGGAAAAGCACUCCCGAGAUCUUUUAAUUCAGUCUGUUGAUCAAAAGUUAACAAAAUAAUUUAGUUUACUUUUGUAGCCCACCUCACUCAACUCGAAUUUUGUCUUAGGGUCAUGCCAUAUCAAGCAUCUUCACAUCAGAUUACCUUUGCAUGGGAGAUGAAAUGGUGAGAGCUACGCAAAAUUUCUCAGUGGGACUAUGUCUACUUUAACAACAUGCACUUCAGGUAUCUGACUCUGACUAGGUUGCAAAGAGGCCGAACGAGCUUAAUGCAUAGCUAUAUUGUUACUGUGAGCUGGAACUCCCAUGCACUCUUUAGCCCUUAUUUCAACACAUUAUCCUUACAUGAAUGAACAUUAAUCAAACCACAGUGAUUGAUCGCAAUAUUAAUUCACCUUUAUUACCUUUGAAAAAAAAAUGGCUUGGUGACUCAAAACAAUAAACGUAAAUGGUAAAGUAAAGUAAUAAAACCCAGGAUUUUUCUUUACUCAGUUCUCUGUUGGUACCAUAUAUGUUGGCGCGCUGUUGGAGCUCAGUUAAACCUUGCAAAUAAUGUCUGUAAUGUCACUCACGGUUCCUUAGGAAACCCUGAAAGUUGGGACUUCUUCUUCACCUCUCUCUCUCGCUCUCAGACCGUCACUCGGUGUUUUGUUUUUCUCUUCCGCUCAAACUCCCUUUUAGGACCCGAUAGGUUGCCAACAACAUCUCUAAGUAAUCACUGAUUUGCUAAUAACAGACUGACACCUGACUGUCGAAUAAACAUCCAACUAUAUGGACUUGAGAGAUUCAAGAGCUACAUAGAAAAUUGGACAUUUCAACAUCUUACCAACUUUUAAUUACUCCAUAUUAAUGCACAUGUUAAAAUUAUUACACAGUAAAUGGUAAAUUUAACCAGUCCAUGUCUCAAUUUACCCUGUACAUUUGUUUCUGAAGUAAACAUUAUAUAAACCAAACUAGCAGGGUUCUACACUUUCAACACACGUAUCAAAAAACGACCUUAAAUUCAUUCCCCACAACUUAUUUGCUCACUAUUUCAUUCUUCCUCUCUCAUUCAAAUAUAAAAAAAAUUUGCAAGCUGUAGUCUUUCCCCUAUAAUACUACCCCUGAGGAUGAAUUAAUUAGGAUGAAAAGGGAUCUGAUACAAUUUCCCAAUACUUUUAUGCAACUGUUAUUUGAAACAAGAAAAAAAAAAAAAUAGAUAACAUUGUUUGUCCAUAACAACAAUAAAAAUAAUGAUAGGCUACCAUUCAAUUAUUUUGGUACAUGUAUUAAUCAGUGUGCAAGGUCACUGAUUAAUACAUGUACCAAAAUACAAGAGGGCACGUGAUUUUGUCACACUCUUUUAUAUUUUGGUACAAGUAUUAAUCAAUGACCUUGCAAGUCAGUGCUUGUCUGGAGCCCUGAAGUUAUUGGUGGGUAAAAUAAUUUUUUAAUUUUUUCAGCUGGAGAGACUUAGUGGCCAGUUCCUACACGUCCUGAAAAUUGUUCUCUUAAUCAGCUUCCUACUAUGAGGGAUUUGGUCCCAUAAACACAUCAUGUUCUGCCAAAGUUGGAAAACUCUUGCCCAGAUGCCCCGAAAGGACGCAUGCAUGGGUGUUAUGAUUAGGCCUUGCCUCCUUCUACUUCCUAGUGUUCUCCGUGUGUUUCCCUCCCCUGCUGUCUCUGUCUGUCUUGUUUGUCAUGUGCUCUGUGUGUGUUUGUGUGUUCAUGGGCGUGUCCGAUCCUGGCUCCUCUCCACCUGCAGCGUCUCACACCUGCGGCUCAUCGAGUAAUCAACCCGUGCAGUCAAAUACUCCGGUUCAGCCCCCACUCUUCACCAGUUCGUCAGUUUACCUCCCGUGUAUCCACCCGAGCCCCGAGACGCUGCCCACCUGUCUACCUGUACCCUGCCUGUCAGCCUGCCAAGCCACUCUGCCCUGAACAGAACCGAAGGAUGCCAUUACCAAGCCCCGCGCUAAACCAUUCGUUCCCUUUUCUGCACUGUUAAUAAUAAAUCAGAUUGUGUGUUUUACAU
Long non-coding RNA from Micropterus salmoides (largemouth bass), 2298 nucleotides. RefSeq lists it as uncharacterized. The transcript has 2 exons. Lineage: Eukaryota; Metazoa; Chordata; Actinopteri; Centrarchiformes; Centrarchidae. The record is from RefSeq and is a predicted model, not a curated record.